Molecule: ribosomal RNA, 345 nt
Filed under: Paenarthrobacter sp.
Lineage: Bacteria; Bacillati; Actinomycetota; Actinomycetes; Micrococcales; Micrococcaceae
Description: bacterial SSU rRNA
Rfam family: Bacterial small subunit ribosomal RNA
Source: RNAcentral
GGGGGAAUUCCACGGUUUUCCGCCGCCGUAGCUAACGCAUUAAGUGCCCCGCCUGGGGAGUACGGCCGCAAGGCUAAAACUCAAAGGAAUUGACGGGGGCCCGCACAAGCGGCGGAGCAUGCGGAUUAAUUCGAUGCAACGCGAAGAACCUUACCAAGGCUUGACAUGAACCGGAAAGACCUGGAAACAGGUGCCCCGCUUGCGGUCGGUUUACAGGUGGUGCAUGGUUGUCGUCAGCUCGUGUCGUGAGAUGUUGGGUUAAGUCCCGCAACGAGCGCAACCCUCGUUCUAUGUUGCCAGCGGUUCGGCCGGGGACUCAUAGGAGACUGCCGGGGUCAACUCGGA